UACGGGGGGGGGCAAGCGUUGUUCGGAAUUACUGGGCGUAAAGGGCUCGUAGGCGGCCAACUAAGUCAGACGUGAAAUCCCUCGGCUUAACCGGGGAACUGCAUCUGAUACUGGAUGGCUUGAGUUCGGGAGAGGGAUGCGGAAUUCCAGGUGUAGCGGUGAAAUGCGUAGAUAUCUGGAGGAACACCGGUGGCGAAGGCGGCAUCCUGGACCGACACUGACGCUGAGGAGCGAAAGCCAGGGGAGCAAACGGG
This 254-nucleotide ribosomal RNA is filed under the name uncultured bacterium. Its description in RNAcentral is "partial 16S ribosomal RNA". It matches the Rfam family "Bacterial small subunit ribosomal RNA", at positions 524 to 776 of the family's 1533-position model. The record is from RNAcentral.